Molecule: long non-coding RNA, 247 nt
Filed under: Amborella trichopoda
Lineage: Eukaryota; Viridiplantae; Streptophyta; Magnoliopsida; Amborellales; Amborellaceae
Description: long non-coding RNA (ATRI_LNC004388)
Source: RNAcentral
CGGGAUAAAGGGCCUAAAAGGCCACAUUUCCAACGGUAUCAUCUAACUUUAAGUGCUAUUAUGGUUAAUUUUUUAAUGUUCAAAAUAUUUUUUUUAUAUUUUUUAUAUAUUUUUUGUGCCACAUAAAAAAUACAUCUACCAACCAAAUUUUAGAUAAACAUGAUUUUUUUUAAUCAAGAAUAAAAAAAUUAGCCAGUCCAAGUAACCGGUUAGCUGGUCAGUUCAACCGGCUUAAUCGGGCAAGUCC